CCUGGCUCAGAACGAACGCUGGCGGCGUGCUUAACACAUGCAAGUCGAACGCGAAAGGGACUUCGGUCCUGAGUAAAAGUGGCGCACGGGUGAGUAACGCGUAGAUAACCUGUCUUCAUGUCUGGAAUAAUACGCCGAAAGGGGUACUAAUACCGGAUAUUCUUGCUUUUCAUAAGUUAUGCAAGCAAAGGUGGCCUCUGCAUAUGCUACUGCAUGAAGAGGGGUCUGCGUACCAUUAGCUAGUAGGUGGGGUAAUGGCCUACCUAGGCGACGAUGGUUAGCGGGUCUGAGAGGAUGAUCCGCCACACUGGCACUGGAACACGGGCCAGACUCCUACGGGAGGCAGCAGUGAGGAAUAUUGCGCAAUGGGGGAAACCCUGACGCAGCGACGCCGCGUGAAGUGAGGAAGGCCUUCGGGUCGUAAAGCUCUGUCAAGAGGAAAGAAGUGUACAAUGGCUAAUACCUGUUGUAUUUGACGGUACCUCUAAAGGAAGCACCGGCUAACUCCGUGCCAGCCGCAGC
RNAcentral lists this ribosomal RNA (522 nucleotides) under uncultured bacterium. RNAcentral describes it as "bacterial SSU rRNA". It matches the Rfam family "Bacterial small subunit ribosomal RNA", at positions 18 to 518 of the family's 1533-position model. The record is from RNAcentral.